Long non-coding RNA from Eriocheir sinensis (Chinese mitten crab), 2325 nucleotides. RefSeq lists it as uncharacterized. The record is from RefSeq and is a predicted model, not a curated record. Lineage: Eukaryota; Metazoa; Arthropoda; Malacostraca; Decapoda; Varunidae. The transcript is spliced from 2 exons.
AUUUUUUGUUUGUUUCCGUCAAUUCUCCUCCCUUUCCUUCCCUCCCCAUCUUCAUCCUUCCUUUCCUCCCUCUCUUUCCCUUCUUCUUUGUGUUUGUUUCCAUCAUUUCCGCCAAUUUUACUUUCUUCUUUAUUUCCAUGUUUCCUCCUUGACCCCACUGAUCUUUUUACUUCCGUUCGUCUUUCUUCGCUUUCUGCUUCUCAUUUCCUUUAAUCUCUCUCUCUCUCCCUCUAUUUUUUUUUUCUCUUCCUCCAAACUCUUUAUCUUUUCUCUCUUGCGUUUCCGUCAACUUCAUUUUCCUUAACCUUCAUUUCCUUCUUUUCUGUGCCUCAUUUAUCCUAUUUCUUUCUUUUCCUUUGCUUUGUUUUCUGUUACUUAUUCCAUUUCAUAUCUCCAUUGUUUCCCUUCCUCCUUUCUCUUCCGUUCCUCUUUUCAUUUAAUCUCACUUUCUCUUCCUCCUUUCCCUUCCAUUCAAUUUCCUCCUUUCACUUUCUCUCCAUUCCUUCUCCUUCCUCCUCCUGCUCCUCUUCCUCCUUUCCCUUCGUUCCUCUUUCCAUUCAAUCUCCCCCUUUCACUUUCUCUCCAUUCCUUCUUCUUCCUCCUCCUGCUCCUCUUCCUUCCUUUAUUUCUCUCUCUCCUUCCUUCUGUUUCUUCCCCCUUCUCCUUUUUACUCUCCAUUCUUUAUCUCCCUCCCUCCCUCCCUCCUUCCCUCCAUCUUAAAGGCAGCGCCGAAGUGGAGACUCUCGACCUGGGUAUGUCUUGUAGAAGUAUUCUGUGCCUCAAAGGUAAAGACGAACACCUGUACACUGUUUUGCCUCACCCCCCUGUCUGUGUUCUCUGGCUGGCCCGCUGGCUGACUGACUGGCUACCUCCUUGGAGACUUACAAUGCGCUGGCUGUUAUUUCGAUUCCCUCUUUCUCUAUUUGUCUCUUUUGUCAGCGUGUUACUUUUCUGUGUUUUACCUUUGUUUUGUUUUUUGUAUGUUUUGUUAUGUGUGUUUUUGUCUUUGUGUUUCAUGUCAGAAUUAUUGGUCGAUAUUAUAAGGCAUUUUCGCUCCUAAUAUCAGCUAUUUCUAUAGGUCAAAGAGGGGGUCAGUCGGGUUCUAAUGAGUGUUUCUUUAGGUUCAUGGUACAGAGGAAGGGUCAAACUACCACCAGGGUCAUAAAACUACUCCUGGAAAUGCCCACAACUCCUACGAAAGCCUUGUCAAAUAGGUGUUUCUUAGGUUCACGGUACAGAGGAAGGGUCAAACUACCACCAGGGUCAUAAAACUACUCCUGGAAAUGCCCACAACUCCUACGAAAGCCUUGUCAAAUAGGUGUUUCUUAGGUUCACGGUACAGAGGAAGGGUCAAACUACCACCAGGGUCAUAAAACUACUCCUGGAAAUGCCCACAACUCCUACGAAAGCCUUGUCAAAUAGGUGUUUCUUAGGUUCACGGUACAGAGGAAGGGUCAAACUACCACCAGGGUCAUAAAACUACUCCUGGAAAUGCCCACAACUCCUACGAAAGCCUUGUCAAAUAGGUGUUAUUGAGCAACGAAAUAUCUUGUAAUACGACCCAUAAUGUGUUGGUUCUUACGUCUUUUCAUAUCUACCCAUUUUUUCUCUUUUCAUUAAUGUCAGUUCCAUGUGUUUUUCCUUUGUUUCUUUCUUGUCGUUUUUACAUAUGUUUUUUUUUAAUUUGUAUGUAUUUAUGUUUGAUGUUGAAGAAGUACAAUUAUCUGCGUGUAAGUACUUCUUUUCCCAGUCUAUUUUUUUUUAUAUGUUCUUUCUUUGUUUUGCCUUUUAAUAUUUCUUCAAUCCUGUGUUGUUUUGUUACUUGUUGGUAUACUGCUGUUUAUGUGUUUUGGCGUGUCUGUCUGUCUAUAUGUGCAUGUGUGUUUUCUCUGUGAUUCCUCCCGCAUCGUGUCUCUUGUUCCUUGUCUGUGCUCAUGUUGAAGUCUGUGGCUGUGUCUUUUUACCCCGGUGGUAGCAGCGGGGAUCAUGUUUCUUAAUGGUCCCUCCAAGCGAGAAAAAUGAGAAAAAAUCACCCCUCACACAAACUAUUCCAUAAUAUAUAUCAAAGCAUUUGUGAUCAGAUUAUGUAUCAUCUAUUUUGGGGGUUUAUUUCAUGGCACAAAUCUGGCCCGUCGCUGCUACACGGUAAAGCCACAAAUUUGGCCCGUCGCUGCUACACGGUAAAGCCACAAAUUGGGCCCGUCGCUGCUACACGGUAAAGCCACAAAUUUGGCCCGUCGCUGCUACACGGUAAAGCCACAAAUUUGGCCCGUCGCUGCUACACGGUAAAGCCACAAAUUGGGCCCGUCGCUGCUACCGGGUUAA